CUGUUAUGACAUGAAUAUACAGCCCUCCUCUGAGACAGAGACUCAGCAGAGAGAGAGAGACAGUAGGGAGGGAGAGAGAAAUGGAGAGACAGAAGGAGAAGAGAAAUGGAUAGAAAGAAAGUAAGGGGAAAGACAGAGACACAGGGAUAGAGACAUGGAUAGAGACAUAACAAGAGAGAGAAAGAGACAGACAGAGAGCAAUGUCUCUAUUGAUCUCUCUACCUCUGUCUGUCUUUCUGCUUCUUUCUCUCCAGCAAUCUGUCUUUCUAUCCAUUUCUCUUCUCCUUCUCUUAUCUCUCUCCGUUUCUCUCCCUCCGUAUUGUGUGUCUCUCUUUCUCUCUCUCUCUCUCUCUCGUGGCUUUAUGCCCUUUACAACGAGACGUUUCACUUAUGGGAAAAGGACUGUUCCUAGGAGAGCGGCUCCUGUUUCUGUAGCAUGACACAGCUUGAUACAGGUGCACCCCCUGGACAGGCCGCUAGUCUGUUCCAAUACCACAGGCCUAUAUCGUAAUCUUGUGUUUUCUUUGCUCCUGCAUAGCUACUUUGCGCUUCACAAUAAACUAGCACUCCUGGAAUUGAAUGUGUUUAAAACAGCCUUCUAGUAUUUUCCAUCAGUUGGUAGUACAAUACAAAAUGUCUGAUUCAUUAUGAGUCAGUCUCUUCCAGUCAGACACCUAGAGGGGAAACAUCCUUGUCAGGUGUUGGCUAUAACAGGGGCUAUAACAGGGGUGAUACAGUUUCUGGUCAGGUGUUGGGCUAUAACAGGGGCUAUAACACGGGUGAUACAGUUUAUCUGGUCAGGUGUUGGGCUAUAACAGGGGCUAUAACACGGGUGAUACAGUUUAUCUGGUCAGGUGCUGGGCUAUAACAGGGGCUAUAACAGGGGUGAUACAGUAUAUCUGGUCAGGUGUUGGGCUAUAACAGGGGUGAUACAGUUUAUCUGGUCAGGUGUUGGGCUAUAACAGGGGCUAUAACAGGGGUGAUACAGUAUAUCUGGUCAGGUGCUGGGCUAUAACAGGGGCUAUAACAGGGGUGAUACAGUUUCUGGUCAGGUGUUGGGCUAUAACGGGGGUUUUACAGUUUCUGGUCAGGUGCUGGGCUAUAACAGGGGCUAUAACAGGGGUGAUACAGUAUAUCUGGUCAGGUGUUGGGCUAUAACAGGGGUGAUAGUUUAUCUGGUCAGGUGCUGGGCUAUAACAGGGGCUAUAACAGGGGCUAUAACAGGGGUGAUAUAGUAUAUCUGGUCAGGUGUUGGCUAUAACAGGGGUGAUACAGUUUAUCUGGUCAGGUGCUGGGCUAUAACAGGGGCUAUAACAUGGGGCUAUUAAUAUGGUUGAAUCUGGAAACUAUCAUCUCGAAAACAAAAGUUUUUUUCUUUCAGUGACAUACGGAACCGUUCCGUAUUUUAUCUAACGGGUGACUAAGUCUAAAUAUUCCUGUUAGGCAUCGAUGUUUAUGGUUAGGUACAUUGGUGCAACAACAGUACUUUUUUCACAAAUGCGCUUGUUAAAUCUUCACCCGUUUGUCGAAGUAGGCUGUGAUUCAAUGAAAAUGAACAGGCACCGCAUCGAUCAUAUGCAACGCAGGACAAGCUAGAUAAACUAGUAAUAUCAUCAGCCAUGUGUAGUUAACUAGAGAUUAUGUUAAGAUUGAUCGUUUUUUAUAAGAUAAGUUUAAUGCUAGCUAGCAACUUACCUUUGCUUCUUGCUGCCCUCGCGUAACAGGUAGUCAGCCUGUUAAUCCUUGUGGAGUGCAAUGUAAGGCAGGUGGUUAGAGCGUUGGACUGGUAACCGAAGGUUGCAAAAACGAAUCCCCCCUGAACAAGGCAGUUAACCCCCGUUUCUAGGCCGUCAUUGUAAAUAAGAAUGUGUUCUUAAUCUGACUUGCCUAGUUAAAUAAAGGUGUAAAUAAAUAAAAUAAAAUAUAUAUUUUUUUUAAAUCGGCAAAUCGGUGGCCAAAAAUACUGAUUACCCAUUGUUAUGAAAACCUGAAAUCGGCCCUAAUUAAUCGGUCGACCUCUAGGUGAUAUAUAUGGUUAGGAGUUGGGCUAUAACGAGGGUGAUAUAUGGUUAGGAGUUGGGCUAUAACGAGGGUGAUAUAUGGUUAGGAGGUUGGGCUAUAACGAGGGUGAUAUAUGGUUAGGAGUUGGGCUAUAAUGAGGGUGAUAUCUGGUUAGGAGUUGGGCUAUAAUGAGGGUGAUAUAUCUGGUUAGGAGUUGGGCUAUAAUGAGGGUGAUAUCUGGUUAGGAGUUGGGCUAUACCGAGGGUGAUAUAUCUGGUUAGGAGUUGGGCUAUACCGAGGGUGAUAUAUCUGGUUAGGAGUUGGGCUAUACCGGGGGUGAUAUAUAUGGUUAGGAGUUGGGCUAUACCGAGGGUGAUAUAUCUGGUUAGGAGUUGGGCUAUAAUGAGGGUGAUAUAUCUGGUUAGGAGUUGGGCUAUACCGGGGGUGAUAUAUGAUAUACACUGAG
This 2467-nucleotide long non-coding RNA is filed under the name Salmo salar (Atlantic salmon). RNAcentral's name for it is "lncRNA (ENSSSAG00000083773.1)". Lineage: Eukaryota; Metazoa; Chordata; Actinopteri; Salmoniformes; Salmonidae. The record is from RNAcentral.